UAAGGGAGACCGAACCCAUCAAUAACCGAAAGCAAACAGCUUCUAGGUAGAAUUGAUGAGGUCAUCCUAGGUCGCAGCGAAGUGAGGUAGUGUGGCUUUCUAACUAUAAUUAGGUUUGGCAAAGGGGCUAUUAGCUCAGGUGGUUAGAGCGCACCCCUGAUAAGGGUGAGGUCCCUGGUUCGAGUCCAGGAUGGCCCACCUAAGAGUAGUUAUGAGUAUUGAGGGAUGAGUGCUUAAUUUGUAACUCAAGACUGAAAGCUCAAAACUAGGAAAGAGGGGGUAUAGCUCAGUUGGUAGAGCGCCUGCUUUGCAAGCAGGAUGUCAGCGGUUCGAGUCCGCUUACCUCCACAUGAGUAGCAGCCAAAAUUACAGAGCAAGAAUAAUUCAGCACCUAGACAAAAACAAGUUGUCGGCAUGCUGAAUAGAUUAUUCAGUCAGAACCUUGAAAACUGCAUAGCAACAACAAUAGCAGGCAGAUACCAAAAGUAUCUGAAUGAAAAACC
RNAcentral lists this transfer RNA (503 nucleotides) under cyanobacterium ATA3_5Q_KO9_cl1. RNAcentral describes it as "16S-23S ribosomal RNA intergenic spacer". The stretch from base 276 to 348 matches the Rfam family "tRNA". The record is from RNAcentral. Lineage: Bacteria; Bacillati; Cyanobacteriota.